RNAcentral lists this ribosomal RNA (253 nucleotides) under uncultured bacterium. RNAcentral describes it as "partial 16S ribosomal RNA". It matches the Rfam family "Bacterial small subunit ribosomal RNA", at positions 524 to 776 of the family's 1533-position model. The record is from RNAcentral.
UACGAAGGGGGCUAGCGUUGCUCGGAAUGACUGGGCGUAAAGGGCGCGUAGGCGGUUUGGUCAGUUAGACGUGAAAUUCCUGGGCUCAACCUGGGGACUGCGUUUAAUACGGCCGAGCUUGAGUAUGGAAGAGGGUCGUGGAAUUCCCAGUGUAGAGGUGAAAUUCGUAGAUAUUGGGAAGAACACCGGUGGCGAAGGCGGCGACCUGGUCCAUUACUGACGCUGAGGCGCGAAAGCGUGGGGAGCAAACAGG